GUGUGUGUGUGUGUGUAGAUGAAUAUGAAGACUGUAAGGAGUGUGUGUGUGUGUGUGUGUGUAGAUGAAUAUGAAGACUGUAAGGUGUGUGUGUGUGUGUGUGUAGAUGAAUAUGAAGACUGUAAGGUGUGUGUGUGUGUGUGUAAAUGAAUAUGAAGACUGUAAGGUGUGUGUGUGUGUGUGUGUGUGUGUGUAGAUGGAUAUGAAGACUGUAAGAAGUGUUUGUGUGUGUGUGUGUGUGUGUGUAGAUGAAUAUGAAGACUGUAAGGAGUGUGUGUGUGUGUGUGUAGAUGGAUAUGAAGACUGUAAGGUGUGUGUGUGUGUAGAUGAAUAUGAAGACUGUAAGGAUUGUGUGUGUGUGUGUGUAGAUAAAUAUGAAGACUGUAAGAAUUGUGUGUGUGUGUGUGUGUGUGUGUAGAUGAAUAUGAAGACUGUAAGGUGUGUGUGUGUGUGUGUGUCUGUGUAGAUGAAUAUGAAGACUGUAAGGUGUGUGUGUGUGUAGAUGAAUAUGAAGACUGUAAGGUGUGUGUGUGUGUGUGUGUGUGUGUAGAUGAAUAUGAAGACUGUAAGGUGUGUGUGUGUGUGUGUGUUUGUGUGU
This is a long non-coding RNA of Clupea harengus (Atlantic herring), 598 nucleotides long. NCBI's taxonomy places the organism in Eukaryota, Metazoa, Chordata, Actinopteri, Clupeiformes, Clupeidae. The record is from Ensembl.